GGGCAUAGCUCAGUGUUAGAGCAUGCUUAGCAUGCAGGAGAUCCUGGGUUCAAUUCCCAGUACUUCCU
Molecule: transfer RNA, 68 nt
Filed under: Camelus bactrianus (Bactrian camel)
Lineage: Eukaryota; Metazoa; Chordata; Mammalia; Artiodactyla; Camelidae
Also listed under: 2 other names
Rfam family: tRNA
About the family: Transfer RNA (tRNA) molecules are approximately 80 nucleotides in length. Their secondary structure includes four short double-helical elements and three loops (D, anti-codon, and T loops).
Source: Rfam by way of RNAcentral